Molecule: RNA transcript, 1142 nt
Organism: Arabidopsis thaliana (thale cress)
Lineage: Eukaryota; Viridiplantae; Streptophyta; Magnoliopsida; Brassicales; Brassicaceae
Exons: 2
Source: RefSeq
AUUAUACAUAGCACAAUUUAUUAGUCUGUUAGUGAGUUUCUAAGGGAUGUUCAAAUAGCAAUCAGUAGAUGCAAACCUCUAUCUUCUUUAUAUUCAAAGAUUUAGUAUAACUCAUUUUUAAGAAGCAAUAAUCUUUCCAACAAAUGCUUAGGAAGAGCAUUUGAGAAGGGAUUUCUUCAAACAUAUUCAAGAACUGGGAAGCUUGUGCCUCUACACUAUGAAAGCCUCUACACUAUGAAAGGCAAAGAGUCUUUGGGAGGAGUUAGUGGUAAGCCUCGAAAUUCUAAUCUUUUUAAAAUUUUCCUUUGGCAUGAUGCUCCAAACGGGUCUAUAAAUUAUAAAAUCGAACAUUGUAAACUUUGUAGGGUCAAUAAAAAUCAAUGUUCUUUUAUGAUACAUGAAGUUCAUUAUGUUCUUUUAAGAACUGCUACAUGAGGUUAACGAUCUCCUCCAAUGCGUUGUAUGAGGAGCCUCCAUUUCUUACAGAGGCUUUGAGAUUCUCUUUUAAAACAAGGGCUCUCUCUCUCAUGUCUGCACCUUCUUCAUCCACUAUCAACCUCUUCACAGCUCUCUCGACCCCUCCCCUCUCUACCUUACCUUGCACCUGAAACCCUAUUCUCCAAAUACUCUCUAAACACAGUGCGUUUAACUUUUGCUCGCCAUGAAAGGGCCUGCAUAUCAUUGGAACUCCUUCCACAAUGCUUUCAAGCGUUGAGUUCCAUCCACAGUGGCUCCAGAAUCCUCCCACUGCAGGAUGUCCAAGUACUUCUAUCUGUGGUGCCCAUUUCACAAUAUACCCUCUUUCGGAGACCAUCUUAAUGACUUCCUCUGGCAGUGACUCUAUCCAUUCGGAGCCUGCGAUAGAGCCAGGCCGAAUGACCCAUAAGAAAGGCUGGUUGCUAUUAAAUAAACCCCGAGCCAUCUCUAACACUUCUUUGGUUUCCAUUUGAACUACGCUCCCCAAGCUUAUGUAAACGACUGACCUCGGUUUUUGCUUGUUCAACCAUUCAACGCAGCUCCUGUCCUCUUCCAGUAAACUAGAAGCUGCUGAAACUGUAAUGUGAAGAGGGCCUAAUGCGUACACCGGAAUCCCGAGUUCAUGUUGCAGACGUUUCAGAGACGAGCUCUCUAGACAUCUCACU